This 253-nucleotide ribosomal RNA is filed under the name uncultured bacterium. Its description in RNAcentral is "partial 16S ribosomal RNA". It matches the Rfam family "Bacterial small subunit ribosomal RNA", at positions 524 to 776 of the family's 1533-position model. The record is from RNAcentral.
UACGGAGGGGGCUAGCGUUGUUCGGAAUUACUGGGCGUAAAGCGCACGUAGGCGGACCAUCACGUUGGGGGUGAAAUCCCGGGGCUCAACCCCGGAACUGCCUCCAAGACUGCUGGUCUGGAGGUCGAGAGAGGUGAGUGGAAUUCCGAGUGUAGAGGUGAAAUUCGUAGAUAUUCGGAGGAACACCAGUGGCGAAGGCGGCUCACUGGCUCGAACCUGACGCUGAGGUGCGAAAGCGUGGGGAGCAAACAGG